GUGCCCUUAGCUCAGCUGGAUAGAGCAUUUGACUACGAAUCAAAAGGUCAGGAGUUCGAAUCUCUUAGGGCACGCCA
Molecule: transfer RNA, 77 nt
Filed under: Paenibacillus pasadenensis
Lineage: Bacteria; Bacillati; Bacillota; Bacilli; Caryophanales; Paenibacillaceae
Also listed under: 13 other names
Description: tRNA-Arg
Rfam family: tRNA
About the family: Transfer RNA (tRNA) molecules are approximately 80 nucleotides in length. Their secondary structure includes four short double-helical elements and three loops (D, anti-codon, and T loops).
Source: RNAcentral